CCUACGGGAGGCAGCAGUGAGGAAUAUUGGUCAAUGGGCGAGAGCCUGAACCAGCCAAGUCGCGUGAAGGAUGAAGGAUCUAUGGUUUGUAAACUUCUUUUAUAUGGGAAUAAAGUGAGGAACGUGUUCCUUUUUGUAUGUACCAUAUGGAUAAGCAUCGGCUAACUCCGGUCCAGCAGCCGCGGUAAUUCGGAGGAUGCGAGCGUUAUCCGGAUUUAUUGGGUUUAAAGGGUGCGUAGGUGGUGAAUUAAGUCAGCGGGGAAAGUUUGUGGGUCAAACAUAAAAGUGCCGUUGAAACUGGUUGACUUGAGUAUAUGUGAGGUAGGCGGAAGGCGUGGUGUAGCGGUGAAAUGCAUAGAUAUCACGCAGAACGCCGAUUGCGAAGGCAGCUUACUAAACUAUAACUGACACUGAAGCACGAAAGCGUGGGGAUCAAACAGGAUUAGAUACCCGAGUAGUC
RNAcentral lists this ribosomal RNA (460 nucleotides) under uncultured bacterium. RNAcentral describes it as "partial 16S ribosomal RNA". It matches the Rfam family "Bacterial small subunit ribosomal RNA", at positions 338 to 795 of the family's 1533-position model. The record is from RNAcentral.